This 79-nucleotide transfer RNA is filed under the name Ailuropoda melanoleuca (giant panda). Lineage: Eukaryota; Metazoa; Chordata; Mammalia; Carnivora; Ursidae. The record is from Rfam by way of RNAcentral.
GCCUGAGUGGCUCAGUCGGUUAAGCAUCUGACUUCAGCUCAGAUCAUGAUCUCCCAGUCUUCUCGAGUCUCCUCAGGCU